UCGAGUUGUUUGGGAAUGCAGCUCAAAUUGGGUGGUAAAUUCCAUCUAAAGCUAAAUAUUGGCGAGAGACCGAUAGCGAACAAGUACCGUGAGGGAAAGAUGAAAAGCACUUUGGAAAGAGAGUUAACAGUACGUGAAAUUGUUGGAAGGGAAACGCUUGAAGUCAGACUUGCUUGCCGAGCAAUCGGUUUGCAGGCCAGCAUCAGUUUUCCGGGAUGGAUAAUGGUAGAGAGAAGGUAGCAGUUUCGGCUGUGUUAUAGCUCUCUGCUGGAUACAUCUUGGGGGACUGAGGAACGCAGUGUGCCUUUGGCGGGGGUUUCGACCUCUUCACACUUAGGAUGCUGGUGGAAUGGCUUUAAACGACCCGUCUU
Molecule: ribosomal RNA, 371 nt
Filed under: Rhodotorula mucilaginosa
Lineage: Eukaryota; Fungi; Basidiomycota; Microbotryomycetes; Sporidiobolales; Sporidiobolaceae
Description: eukaryotic LSU rRNA
Rfam family: Eukaryotic large subunit ribosomal RNA
Source: RNAcentral